RNAcentral lists this ribosomal RNA (497 nucleotides) under uncultured bacterium. RNAcentral describes it as "partial 16S ribosomal RNA". It matches the Rfam family "Bacterial small subunit ribosomal RNA", at positions 28 to 507 of the family's 1533-position model. The record is from RNAcentral.
GAUGAACGCUGGCGGCGUGCCUAAUACAUGCAAGUCGAGCGAACAGACGAGGAGCUUGCUCCUCUGACGUUAGCGGCGGACGGGUGAGUAACACGUGGAUAACCUACCUAUAAGACUGGGAUAACUUCGGGAAACCGGAGCUAAUACCGGAUAUUAUAUUGAACCGCAUGGUUCAAUAGUGAAAGACGGUUUUGCUGUCACUUAUAGAUGGAUCCGCGCCGCAUUAGCUAGUUGGUAAGGUAACGGCUUACCAAGGCAACGAUGCGUAGCCGACCUGAGAGGGUGAUCGGCCACACUGGAACUGAGACACGGUCCAGACUCCUACGGGAGGCAGCAGUAGGGAAUCUUCCGCAAUGGGCGAAAGCCUGGCGGAGCAACGCCGCGUGAGUGAUGAAGGUCUUCGGAUCGUAAAACUCUGUUAUUAGGGAAGAACAAAUGUGUAAGUAACUAUGCACGUCUUGACGGUACCUAAUCAGAAAGCCACGGCUAACUACGUG